This 210-nucleotide long non-coding RNA is filed under the name Elaeis guineensis (African oil palm). Its description in RNAcentral is "long non-coding RNA (EGUI_LNC034747)". Lineage: Eukaryota; Viridiplantae; Streptophyta; Magnoliopsida; Arecales; Arecaceae. The record is from RNAcentral.
GUUAGGUUAUUAAAAAUUUGUCUGGCUAUUAGUUUGUUAUAACAGAAUAGCUAGUUGUUUGAAGAUCUUAGGUUGUUCAUCCACAUGGUGAUUAGCUAUAAUAUAGCUAGAAGAUACUUAUUGUAAAGUUGGACGACUGUUAUAAUAGAGCUGUAGAGUAACUAUCUUUGUUCUAAGUUAGAUCGGUUCUAGAUUGAUAUCCACUAUGGC